This 253-nucleotide ribosomal RNA is filed under the name uncultured bacterium. RNAcentral describes it as "partial 16S ribosomal RNA". It matches the Rfam family "Bacterial small subunit ribosomal RNA", at positions 524 to 776 of the family's 1533-position model. The record is from RNAcentral.
UACGGACGGGGCGAGCGUUGUUCGGAAUCAUUGGGCGUAAAGGGCGCGUAGGUGGUCUUGUAUGUCUACCGUGAAAGCGUACGGCUCAACCGUAUUUUGUCGGUAGAAACUGCAGGACUUGAGGCUGGGAGGGGCUGGUGGAAUUCCCUGUGUAGCGGUGAAAUGCGUAGAGAUGGGGGAGAACACUCGUGGCGAAGGCGGCCAGCUAGACCAGUUCUGACACUGAGGCGCGACAGCGUGGGGAGCAAACAGG